GUCGCUAUGGUGGAAUGGCAGACACGGCAGACUCAAAAUCUGCUGAUAGCAAUAUCGUAUCGGUUCAAGUCCGAUUAGCGACA
This 83-nucleotide transfer RNA is filed under the name Caudoviricetes sp. RNAcentral describes it as "tRNA-Leu". It matches the Rfam family "tRNA". From Rfam's summary of the family: Transfer RNA (tRNA) molecules are approximately 80 nucleotides in length. Their secondary structure includes four short double-helical elements and three loops (D, anti-codon, and T loops). Further hydrogen bonds mediate the characteristic L-shaped molecular structure. tRNAs have two regions of fundamental functional importance: the anti-codon, which is responsible for specific mRNA codon recognition, and the 3' end, to which the tRNAs corresponding amino acid is attached (by aminoacyl-tRNA synthetases). tRNAs cope with the degeneracy of the genetic code in two manners: having more than one tRNA (with a specific anti-codon) for a particular amino acid; and 'wobble' base-pairing, i.e. permitting non-standard base-pairing at the 3rd anti-codon position. Lineage: Duplodnaviria; Heunggongvirae; Uroviricota; Caudoviricetes. The record is from RNAcentral.